Molecule: microRNA precursor, 79 nt
Filed under: Ornithorhynchus anatinus (platypus)
Lineage: Eukaryota; Metazoa; Chordata; Mammalia; Monotremata; Ornithorhynchidae
Description: microRNA oan-mir-1412 precursor
Source: miRBase by way of RNAcentral
GACCCGAGUCCUUCUCGUCCACCCCCUCCACCUCAACGGGUUUCUCCCGUUGGUCUCUUGGGUGAGGAGGGCGAGGGUC